Molecule: ribosomal RNA, 419 nt
Filed under: uncultured bacterium
Lineage: Bacteria
Description: bacterial SSU rRNA
Rfam family: Bacterial small subunit ribosomal RNA
Source: RNAcentral
AACGAACGCCGGCGGCAGGCCUAACACAUGCAAGUCGAACGAUAUAGUGGCAGACGGGUGAGUAACGCGUGGGAACGUACCUUUCACUACGGAAUAGCUCUGGGAAACUGGUGGUAAUACCGUAUACGCCCUCCGGGGGAAAGAUUUAUCGGUGAAAGAUCGGCCCGCGUUGGAUUAGCUAGUUGGUGAGGUAAUGGCUCACAAAGGCGACGAUCCAUAGCUGGUCUGAGAGGAUGAUCAGCCACACUGGGACUGAGACACGGCCCAGACUCCUNACGGGAGGCAGCAGUGGGGAAUCUUGCACAAUGGGCGAAAGCCUGAUGCAGCCAUGCCGCGUGAAUGAUGAAGGCCUUAGGGUUGUAAAAUUCUUUCGUCAGGGAUGAUAAUGACCGUACCUGAAGAAGAAGCCCCGCUAACUU